AGGCGCACUAAUUAAUUAAUGCCGGCGGCUUCUACCAAGUCCUGAGACCCCAAGGGCGCUCCCCGAAGGAUGCGGCGGGGACGGCAGCGGGACAAGGAGCGGGACAGCGGCAACAGCACAGGGAAGCAUCUGCCGUGGCCAACCCAACCUCUCCCAUGCAAACCCUGCAGCAGUGAUAAUGACGAGACCGACAGACUUAACGCAGAACCCCGUGCUGGAGCUGCCCAAGAGGAAGGACGGGUUAGGGCUCCUGAGGCUCUGUGGGGAUGGACACCAUGGUGCCACGUGCCCCCCAGCCCACUGACCAUAUAGGGUUCUCUAGUACCCUACUCUUGCAGCCUAGAGCAAAACACAGUUGGAUGCAGCAUCCUGGUACCCAGAAUUUGGAUCCCAGGAGAAGCAUUAGCCAACCAAGGGGUUACAUGGGACAUGGCAGCUCUCUCUUUCUUGUUGAAGAAAAUCCCAAUAAAUAAAAUAUGAACUUCA
This is a long non-coding RNA of Parus major (Great Tit), 486 nucleotides long. RefSeq lists it as uncharacterized. The transcript is spliced from 2 exons. NCBI's taxonomy places the organism in Eukaryota, Metazoa, Chordata, Aves, Passeriformes, Paridae. The record is from RefSeq and is a predicted model, not a curated record.